AUUACUCCUACGGGAGGCAGCAGUGGGGAAUAUUGGACAAUGGGCGAAAGCCUGAUCCAGCCAUGCCGCGUGUGUGAAGAAGGUCUUCGGAUUGUAAAGCACUUUAUGUUGGGAGGAAGGGUGGUAACUUAAUACGUUGCUACUUUGACGUUACCGACAGAAUAAUCACCGGCUAACUUCGUGCCAGCAGCCGCGGUAAUAAU
RNAcentral lists this ribosomal RNA (203 nucleotides) under uncultured bacterium. Its description in RNAcentral is "partial 16S ribosomal RNA". It matches the Rfam family "Bacterial small subunit ribosomal RNA", at positions 332 to 526 of the family's 1533-position model. The record is from RNAcentral.